RNAcentral lists this long non-coding RNA (8130 nucleotides) under Triticum aestivum (bread wheat). RNAcentral describes it as "long non-coding RNA (TAES_LNC014409)". The record is from RNAcentral. Lineage: Eukaryota; Viridiplantae; Streptophyta; Magnoliopsida; Poales; Poaceae.
CUCCACCCACUCCCCUCUCUCCUCCUCCGCUUAUCCCCUCACCCAGAUCCCUUUCCCCUCCUUCCGAGCUCUGCCAUGGACGCGACGCCGAGACCGACGUAGCCGCAGCCACCACCGUCCCUGAACCCCUCCGAUGCGUCCAUGUCCCCUACGACAUCUACAUGGGCGGGCUCGAGCUGGGCGUCCCUGCAUCGAGCGGAUCGACGCCAUCCUCCUCCUCGAGCACCACCGCCUUCUUCUUCAACUUCGUCGUCGUCCUAUGCUUUGACCCCUCCCCGAGCAUGCUCUUGCACAACUACAGGUCCGGUGAGGCCCCUGUCCAAACCCUCCCUCCUUUCCCCCCGUCCCGAAUGCUUUAGGCCACCGUGCCCGCUCGCACCAAUUCCCGACAACCCCGCGGUCGCCACGCCCAUGGCCGCGCCCCGGCGCCAGCCGCGCAUGCGUGCUCGUGCCCUAGCCUCAUGCGCGUUUUGACCGUGUGCGCCCCGCCGCGUCUCCCUUCUUGCUGCGCUCGCGCCCGGACCUCUGCUCCCCACGCUGUCUCGUGUUGCCCGUGCCUCGUGGCCUUCCGCCCACCGCUACUCCCGCGAGCAACCGCUGCCACUAGAGAGAUGCUACCUGCUGCUUUUGCUGCUAGGUGUGGACGCCCGUGUCGUGCCCGCGAGCCUCUCUGGUCGCGCGCCCCUACACGCCUCACUCCCGCUCGCCGCUCGCCUACUGCCGCCGGAGCCGUCUACCGUCGCCCGUGCGCAAGCACCGCCUUGGCCCCUGCCAUGUGCCUUGUUGUCAUGCCCGCAGCUGCGCGCGCUCCGCUCGCUAGUUGUCGCCUGGCAGCGCCCGCCUUCGUAGUCUGCUACUCGCCCGACGACGUGCCCAUUGCUCCAGGCCGCGCCUGGCCCUGCUUGCCGUCCCGCGCGCGCCCCUGCGCCUGCCCGCGCUGUUUCUGCUGAAGCUCUUGCUUGCCUGAUGCGCUAAUACUAUUGCUGCUUACUGUACUGCUAGCUAGCUUUUCAAUUUUUACAUUGACUAACCGCCUAGACAGCCCCUAAUCUGUGGUUAAACAACUGGUAAAAUGACUAAGUAAAAUAUGAGAAGGUAGUACACUUGACAAAGCUCAAGUGUUUCCAUUGGACCAAAUCCAUUUGGUGCAUAGAUUAAAUUCGAUGAAAAUCACAAAGUGCUAUCUUUUGUUAGCAGAAAACAGAACUAUGUGCGUGAGUGUGUUGUGUGUGUGCGUGGGAGGCAGGGAUGGCUCACUGCCAAGUAGGGGAUGCUCCUGAUUAGUUUAGGUUGAUUAAAUACUUAGUGGUCAGAGUAGUUAGACUAAUUAGUACUACUUAGGAUAAUUGCUACCCUAUGUCAUGUGGCCCCCUAUGUUAAUUUUAACCCCUCCAUUUUAGUUUAGCCAUCAAUUAAAUUAUGUGCCAAUGACAUGUGGGCCACAUCCCCCCUUUUUGACUAGUCAUUUUGACUUGGUCAAAUUUUGAUUAUAUUAAAUAAAAAUAUUUCAGAAAAUCUUUAAAUCUUUGAUAAUUCAUAGAAAAUAAUCUGUAACUCGGAUGAAAAGGUUCUCUACAUAAAAGUUGCUCAGAAAAACGUGACGAACCCGAAUACGCUACCCACAUACCUGUCAGAUGCCUCUAACUAUAUGAACAUGGAGCAUUCCCCUUCAGUCAUCUGUUUGACAUAGGUCCGGAACCGGGAAAACAUUCCCGGUUGAAUUCCCCCUUCACCUGUAUCGUGUAGCCAUACAUUAGGUCACACCCGGCACAACAUAUUGCCAUGUUAUGCUUUGUGAUGCUUUGUUUGCUUUAUAUUUAUUGUUUCUUCCCCCUCUUCUCUUUGGUAGAACCCGAGACCGAUGUCGCCCCUGUGAUUGACUACGUCGACGACGACACUUCUUCCUUCUCAACAGAGCUUCCAGGCAAGCAAACCCCCCUUGAGCAUUCCGAUAUCGCCUAUUUCUUUUCCUCUCACGCUUGCAUUAGAACUGCUACUGCUUUCUGUAUGAUCCUGCUCUGAUGCAUAGCCUGUUGUUGUUACCUACUUUUAUACCUUACCUGCUUAUCCUAAACUGCUUAGUAUAGGUUGGUUAGAGAUCCAUCAGUGACCCCACCUUGUCCCACUUGCCUCGCUUAUGUUCGAUGACUCGAUCAACGUGAUCGACGUCCAGGCCCCGACACUGCACAUCACACCCCUAGUUGUAUGACUCUGUAGAGUUAUCAUCGACUGCCGACGGUGGAACCUCUUACAUCACUCCUGAUGAGAUCUCUGUAGUGUAGCUAUACGGUCGAGGUCAUCGAGGGUGAUUUCCUCCUUAACCACUUUCAUUACGGCUCUGUCGUGCAACCCCUCAAGUGUGAACCUCGAGGGUGGAUCCUCUUACGUUCACCUUGAUGAUAAUAUCGAGUGGAAUUCACCGGGGGUGAAUCCUCGGGUUUUCCCCUUGGUGUUAGACACACAGUUACUAUGGUUACUAUGACUUUGCACUGAGCCAUGUUACUAAAGACGGGUCGGACCUGAGGGAUACCCGCGCGAGCUUAAUAGCGAGUGAUGUGGAGUCGGGUUGACCUGGAAGGUGCCCGCGAGAUACUUACGAGGUGUGGUCGGGCAUUCUUAGCCCUUGCCGCAAGGACUCGAGACGGGGCGAUGGGGUCACAUUGAUCGUGAGUCUCUGCUUGUUACCGUGUGCUCCUAAUCCACUACUGUUUGGAUAUUUGAUCCGAGGGGCCUCUGGCCUAAUAGCACUAACCAUCACGUGGGCAUAGUAUGGGCGUUCUGCGUCGUAUACAUCAGCCGAAGCUUAAUAGACGUCAGCGACCGAGCAGCGCGCGCCGGGUUGGACUACGUAAGCUCCUGCCUUGUUGAAGGAGGUAGCUAGGUCUGCUCACGGCCGCGUACAUAACGUGCAGGAGUUCCUGGGGAGAUGGCCCGUGACCCCUGGGGGCAUAGGUUCAGUCCGGCGUGUUGGCCUCUCUAUUAAGCUUAGGUCGGGUUGCGGCGUAUUGUUUGGCCGAGGCCGGGCAUGACCCAGGAAAGUGUGUCCGGUCGGAGUUAAUCGAGCGUGGUGGGUAAGUUGGUGCACCCCUGCAGGGAAGAAAACAUCUAUCGAUGGCCUGUCCUACGGUAACGGACACUUGGAGUUGUAUCCCGAUCGAUACAACUAGAACUGGAUACUUGUGAUGAGAAGUGGUUAUGAGAAACAGUGUGUGAUGAUAAAUGGAUAUGAGAAUGGAUAGUAUGGCUCUGGGAUUGCUUUCUCACAGGGAGUUGAGAAAGGAUCUCUAGCCGAGGUUGAUAACACUUCUACUACUUUACUUUAUGCUACUCUACUCCCUCCUGUUGCUGGAAAAUGGUGGUUUCCAGAAGAUGCUAGUCUUCGAUAGGCUAGGCUUUCCCCUUCCCUUUUGUCAUUCUGUAGUUUAGUCCACAGAUACAACCCAUUCCUUUGAUACAGAUGCAUACUUAGUUUAGAUCUGAUGUAAGUCUUGUGAGUACUUUGGAUGAGUACUCACGGUUGCUUUGCUACUUCUUUUCCCCCAUACCCGAUUGUUGCGACCAGAUGACGGAUCCCAGGAGCCAGAAGACGCCACUGAUGACUACUAGUACCCGGAGGAUGCCUACUACUACGUGAAGACCGCAGACGACUAGGAGCAGUUAGGAGGCUCCCAGGCAGGAGGCCUUACCUUUUCGAUCAUUGUUGCUUUUGUGCUAGACUUCUUAAGGCAAUCUUGUCUAACUUAUGUCUGUACUCAGAUAUUGUUGCUUCCGCUGACUCUUGUGUAUUCGAGCUUAUGUAUUCGAGCCCUCGAGGCCCCUGGGUUGUAAUAUAAAGCUUGUACUAUUUUAAUUUGUGUCUAGAGUUGUGUUGUGAUAUCUUCCCGCGAGUCCUUGAUCUUGAUCGUACACAUUUGCGUGUAUUAUUAGUGUAGGAUUGAAUUGAGGGCGUCACAAGUUGGUAUCAGAGCCGUAUGCCUGUAGGAUCCCUCUUUCCAACUCCUUGGCCGAAGUUGAGUCUAGAAACCGAAAACCGUUUUACUAACUUGGUUGUGUGUCUUACGGGCCCACGUCGCCAUAUGGGUGCUAUUAGGAUCUUUAAUUCCUUGUCUAUACUCUACGACUCUGAUCUCCCUUCUAUUCGGGUUAAAUAAUUUAGCUAACUCUAACACUAGGUUCUCGUAACCGCUUCCUUCCGGAGAGCUCCUUCAACAUAGAUGAUCAUCUGCUACAUCAGAAGACUCUGAAGGUACUUCUCGAUGUAUCACGAGACCCUGUGUCCACUGCCUUGUAGUUUCUAACCACUGGUAACCCCCAUGAAUAACAUCCUUGCCGCUUGUACCUUCAUCCCCAGUUGCUCCUGUUGUUACAAGAUACCCUGAAAUACUUCGGAUAUUCCGAGAAUCCUUUGUGCCUGCUACUUUGCAGCUCCUUUUUCCGCAUGAAUACAUGUUUGAAUAAUUCCUCACACUUAUCGACGAUUUGUUCAUUCCUUGUUAUGCAUGUGCUUCAUAAAAUACCCCUAAAUUCUAUUCGACUUUCCGAGAAUCCUUUACAACCUAUUGCUUUGGAAAGUCUUGCGUGCCUGCACUAUGGUUAAUUCCAUAUUUCUAGUAAUCUCUGUUGACAUCCUCUGUCACUAUCCUUUCGAGUUCCUUGAUCCAAUAUGUUGUGAAUGCUCGCAAUCCUCAAUCAUAUCCUAGCAUUCACUCUUCCAGCUCAGACAUCACCCCGAACUUGAGCUUGUUCUUGGCAAAUCAAACCUUGAAUGAUUGUUGAGCUAUGUCUUUUCAACUUGCUUAUCUUUUGAUUAGAGCAUCUGCUUCUGAUCCCCUCAUUUGGAAAUCAUAAUUCCUUUGUAAUUAAGCUUUGAAAUUAUCCAUAUAUAUCUAUAAUCCGAUGCCUUUGCAUUAAUUCUUCCUCUGGUUGAGUACCGAUAAUCACAUCAGAUCCAUUGUGGACUGCCAAAUCCUUUGUUGGAUUAUUAUCCGAUAGUGACUCUCACAUUCUAAAUUCUCAUGAGUUUUUGCCUUGUUACAUAAUGCCUUUGGUAAAUUGUAUCCUCUCCUUUUGUCAACCAUGCUCUACCUUCGAGCUUGUGUUAUUUACUCUUUAAGUUUGUGGUAUACGUUCCUAAGAUGCCCCGAUGGGUUGAACCUAUGCCUUUUUCUAAUCUGUGUGAACCCGGAAACUCCUACGGUUCAUACCCUACUGGUGUUAUGCCAGAUAAAACUUCCAACACUACAACUUCUUCAAAGACAAGAAGUGAAUGAAAUGUUAGGCAUUGAAGAAGUGGGAGUCGGCCUUGAACUUUGUGUUCAUGCCCAUGGACACGAUGUAGAUCCUAUGAUGAAAGCUUCUUGUUAUAAUAACUAAUUCCUUGAUAUAAUAUCAUCUGGUCUCUGUGAACUGAUCCUUUACAAUUGUGGUUUCGACCAUAUUUCUCCCUGAUACCAUUUCUCAGACAAGUUAGAGAACUUGUCUUCUACAGAUCAAUGCAUAUCCGCAACCUCUAUUUUUAUCUUCUCUCGAGUAUUACCCUCCAGUAUCUCGAGAAUAACAAGGAACUCUGUUGGUUCCUAUGAGUCUUCAUCUAGUAUUACUUCUCACCGACUUCAGAUUUCCCCCCGGGUUAUGAGUUAUUAGUCACUCGAGAACAUCGAUAAGUGAAUCGAUUUUGCACUUCGAUUCAAUAACUCUAAGUAAUUUUUUUUUGCUUACGAGUAUAUUUGUCCUUCAAGUCAUUCCUAGCUUGAUCGGCUAUAUGAUUAUUGUGCUAAAUUUUAACUGUGCUACCUGGUCCUUCUUCCCGGAGCACAAUUUUUGACGAUGAGCUAAGCCUACAUCGUUCUUCCUCGUCAUAUCAUUUUGCCUUGAAUAGCAAGCUUGAUUUUGAGUUUGUAUCAUACCCGUGGUUCAAAUAACCUUUCGCUUCAUCAUUCCUUUGACUUGAUGUCAUCGCCGAUGGAUUGCAUUUUCAUGAAACCUCUCGACAAAUAUGUUGUGAUCAUCUCAACAAUUCUGAGCUCUUCUAGGUUAUCAAUCUAAUUCAUGAUGAGAAAUACCAUCCUUGCCCCCUCGAUGAAUUGUUGCUAAGCCCGUGGGCCCCAUCCUCAUCUUUUCCUUGCUGAAAUUGUAUGACUUAUUUUAUAAGUUGUUUCCGAUGGAUCCUUUGUGUAUCCGAAGUUUGACCUUUCCCUGAUGACCAUGUCAACACUAUCCCGAAGCAUGUGUGUGGUACUCUGGUCAUCAACAAGAACAUUGGGAGCGCAAUGCUAACUAUUCUUGAUCAAUUAUCCAAACAUUGUUGUAUGGGUAAACCUCAUAAAUUCCUUGCCCCUCUGUCUAAACGUUUUAAUACUUGGAGCCCUAUCAUGCUCUGCCUUUCCUUGGGGAAGUUGUACUCUAAUACUUGGGUAUAAACAACUUUCCUUUCCAUUGGUCUGAUUAUCAUAGUAAUCUUAUUUUCCUAUCCAUUGUUUUGUUUCACCUUUCUUGUAUUUUAACUUGUCUGAGCAGAGAUAAAUUCCUGCUUAAGUAAGCACCUCGGUGUACAACUCUAUCAGUAAGACCCUGUUACUAUUGUUGAUGACAUUUCGGUAACCACCGAUGGACGAGAACUUUGCCUAUUGGUCCGGCUCAUCUUACGAGCAGGAAAAUGGUUCUCUUCGUCCCACGCCCUUGGUACCAAACUUUGUUGCCAACAUAACUGACAGGCUAUCCUCUGACCUGCCUUGCUAUCAUGGCCGUUCAAGGUGUUAGCGCCUUCCUGCUUUUAACUCACAUGGUGGUCCCAUAACCCACAGUUCCACAAGAUCGAAACCUGACUCUCUUGUACACCCUUGUUUCUAACGUUAUUUCUCACGCUUGGCUUCAUAUGAAAAUCCCGAGCCACCUUCCGUGAGGCGAUCUAUUCUGGUAUCAGACGCCAUACUUAUUCCAUCGCUUUGAACCCCUUUCACCCCUUCUUUCAGGCAAUAAACGAUUGUCUACCAGGUUGAAGCUUCUUAUUGCAACCUCACCUUGCUCUCGAUGACUUUCUUGAAUUUCAACACGAGAGAUACCUCUAUGCCACAUUGAGGUACCUAUCUUGUGUUGAGCUCCGUCCUUCCAGAGUUUUACCCCCUUACUCCACCCCUUGAAUCUCGGGACGAGAUUUCUUGUAGUAGGGAAGAAUUGUGACGCUCGGAUAAUUAAGCUACAGUAAACCCCUGCUAAUGGUGCCACAUCAUCACAUUAUUGUUGCUAAUCCUCACUUUAUCCAGAUCACAAUUCUAAUUCAAAUUCAAAUUAAAGUCCAAUAUUCAAAUUUCUCAAACAUACAAACAAAAUGUUCAAAGUGUGGCAAAUAUUCCAUAACUAAUUAUGGUGGUGACCCAACACUUUUGAAAAGUAUUUUAAUCCUAUUUUGUGAAUAUAACAGUGGCUGAAUAUAAUUAUUAAAUGUUUUUAAAUUAUAAAAAUACUAAACUAUUUUAUUUGAACCUCAAACUAAAUGUGGCAGUGGUAUAUUUAAUAGUACUAAUUUGGUGUCUAGGUUUGUAUUUUACAAAAGUUAGAAUAAAACUAAAUAGAAAACAGAAAAUUAAAAAAAAGAAAUGCAAAGUAAAUAAAAAGAGAAAGGCCCCUGACUCCCCCGGGCCUCGGUCCACCCCCACUUGCGCCAGCCCAACUACCCCCACCCGUCUCCUUCUCCUCCUAUUCCCGUGGUGCGGUCGCUAUAGGGGCAUGGUUGCCCCCGACCGCCUCGCCGGCGACGCCGGAGAGUAUAAGGACCCUCCCAGACGCCUCGAGCCCUUCCCCAUCUUGCCCAAAAUAUCUCCACCCACUCCCCUCUCUCCUCCUCCGUCUAUCCCCUCGGCCAGGUCCCCUUUCCCCUCCUUCCGAGCUCUGCCAUGGACGCGACGCCGACACCGAUGUAGCUGCGGCCACCACUGUCCCUGAGCCCCUCCAAUGCAUCCACCUCCCCUAUGACAUCUACAUGGGCGGGCUCGAGCUGGGCGUCCCUGCAUCGAGCGGAUCGAUGCCAUCCUCGUCCUCGAGCUCCGCCACCUUCUUCAUCAACUUCGUCGUUGUCCUGUGCUUCGACUCCUCCCCGAGCAUCCUCUUGCACAACUACAGGUCCGGUGAGGC